RNAcentral lists this ribosomal RNA (927 nucleotides) under Limosilactobacillus fermentum. RNAcentral describes it as "bacterial SSU rRNA". It matches the Rfam family "Bacterial small subunit ribosomal RNA", at positions 382 to 1303 of the family's 1533-position model. Lineage: Bacteria; Bacillati; Bacillota; Bacilli; Lactobacillales; Lactobacillaceae. The record is from RNAcentral.
GCUGAUGGAGCACACCGCGUGAGUGAAGAAGGGUUUCGGCUCGUAAAGCUCUGUUGUUAAAGAAGAACACGUAUGAGAGUAACUGUUCAUACGUUGACGGUAUUUAACCAGAAAGUCACGGCUAACUACGUGCCAGCAGCCGCGGUAAUACGUAGGUGGCAAGCGUUAUCCGGAUUUAUUGGGCGUAAAGAGAGUGCAGGCGGUUUUCUAAGUCUGAUGUGAAAGCCUUCGGCUUAACCGGAGAAGUGCAUCGGAAACUGGAUAACUUGAGUGCAGAAGAGGGUAGUGGAACUCCAUGUGUAGCGGUGGAAUGCGUAGAUAUAUGGAAGAACACCAGUGGCGAAGGCGGCUACCUGGUCUGCAACUGACGCUGAGACUCGAAAGCAUGGGUAGCGAACAGGAUUAGAUACCCUGGUAGUCCAUGCCGUAAACGAUGAGUGCUAGGUGUUGGAGGGUUUCCGCCCUUCAGUGCCGGAGCUAACGCAUUAAGCACUCCGCCUGGGGAGUACGACCGCAAGGUUGAAACUCAAAGGAAUUGACGGGGGCCCGCACAAGCGGUGGAGCAUGUGGUUUAAUUCGAAGCUACGCGAAGAACCUUACCAGGUCUUGACAUCUUGCGCCAACCCUAGAGAUAGGGCGUUUCCUUCGGGAACGCAAUGACAGGUGGUGCAUGGUCGUCGUCAGCUCGUGUCGUGAGAUGUUGGGUUAAGUCCCGCAACGAGCGCAACCCUUGUUACUAGUUGCCAGCAUUAAGUUGGGCACUCUAGUGAGACUGCCGGUGACAAACCGGAGGAAGGUGGGGACGACGUCAGAUCAUCAUGCCCCUUAUGACCUGGGCUACACACGUGCUACAAUGGACGGUACAACGAGUCGCGAACUCGCGAGGGCAAGCAAAUCUCUUAAAACCGUUCUCAGUUCGGACUGCAG